RNAcentral lists this ribosomal RNA (484 nucleotides) under uncultured bacterium. RNAcentral's name for it is "partial 16S ribosomal RNA". It matches the Rfam family "Bacterial small subunit ribosomal RNA", at positions 30 to 507 of the family's 1533-position model. The record is from RNAcentral.
AUUGAACGCUGGCGGCAGGCCUAACACAUGCAAGUCGAGCGGAUGAAGGGAGCUUGCUCCUGGAUUCAGCGGCGGACGGGUGAGUAAUGCCUAGGAAUCUUCCUGGUAGUGGGGGAUAACGUCCUGAAACGGGCGCUAAUACCGCAUACGUCCUGAGGUAGAAAGUUGGGGAUCUUCGGACCUCACGCUAUCAUAUGAGCCUAGGUCGGAUUAGCUAGUUGGUGUGGUAAAGGCCUACCAAGGCGACGAUCCGUAACUGGUGUGAGAGGAUGAUCAGUCACACGGGAACUGAGACACGGACAAGACUCCUACGGGAGGCAGCAGUGGGGAAUAGUGGACAAUGGGCGAAAGCCUGAUCCAGCAAUGCCGAGUGUGUGAAGAAGGUCUUCGGAUUGUAAAGCACUUUAAGUUGGGAGGAAGGGCAGUAAGUUAAUACCUUGCUGUUUUGACGUUACCAACAGAAUAAGCACCGGCUAACUUCGUG